GUUCGGUCUUGGAGCUCCGUCUUCGGCAGCGGGCUCGGGGGCCUCGGACUCUGCAUAAGGCCCCGGAAAAGAUGACCGGCCCCGGGCUGGGCGCGGUGGCUCAUGCCUGUAACCCUGGAGCUUUGGGAGGCCUUGGCGGGCGGAUCGCUUGAGUCCAGGAGUUCGAGAUCAGCCUGGGCAACAAAGCGAGACACCACCCCCCACCCCCAGUCGCUACAGAAGAAAAAAAAAAAAAUUAACCGGGCGUGGUGUCUCGCGCCCAGUGGUCCUAGCUCCUCGGGAAGGUGAGGCGGGAAGAUCGCUUGAGUCAAGGAGUUCCAGGCAGCAAUGCGCCCCUGCACCCCAACCUGGGCGACAGAGCGAGAUCCUGUUUCAAAAAACAAAAAAGAUGGCAGCCCCGGCCUGACAUACCCCGGCCAUGCUCGCCAAUUCUCACGCCCUGUGCCCCCACCUAGCCUGUCCCCGUGUCCUAGGAGACGUGCCCUCUGAGUUUUAUUUUUUAUUUCUAUUUUUUUGAGGCAGGGUCUUGCUCUGUCGCCCAGGCUGGAGUGCGGUAGCGCGAUCUCGGCUCGCUGUAACCUCCGCCUCUGGAGUAGCUGGGACCACAGGAGCCCACCACGCCCGGCUCAUUUUCUCUUGAGUUUUCCGGGGUGCACGUGCCCCCCGUUAAGGCACAUUGCUUCGCCCUGGGUAGAACUAAGUGGGCGACUCUUGGGCUAGCCCCAUUUUUUCCCCUCAGACCAAACAAAUGAGUGCUUUUUUCCCAGAAAAAAAAUUUCACACAGUUAUAAGAUUUUGCAGAUCCUGAGUAAGACAGUCCCUGCCGGGCGCGGUGGCUCACGCCUGUAAUCCCAGCACUUUGGGAGGCCGAGGUGAGUGGAUCACGAGGUCAGGAGUUCGAGACCAGCCUAGCCAACAUGGUGAAACCCCCGUCUCUACUAAAACUACAAAAAUUAGCCAGGCGUGGUGGUGGGCACCUGUAAUCCCAGCUACUUGGGAGGCUGAGGCAGGAGAAUUGCUUGAACCCAGGGGGCAGAGGUUGCAAUGAGCUGAGAUCAAGCCACUUCACUCCAGCUUGGGCAAAAGAGCAAAAUUCCAUCUUAAAAAAAAAAAAAAAUGGGGGGGCCCUUCCACCUUCCCAUUUAAAAUGUGCCAGACACUGUUAGGUACUAAGGGCAUGUCCUCAAAUGUCCUAACAUGGAGGACUUUUGUUUCUUCAUAGGUAGGCUAGAGCUAAUGAUAGCACCCUGAAAGGGUACUCAAUUUGUGGAGCCUGAGAAAUAAAGAUAGGUAAUAUCCAAAUGCCUGCUAGGAAAUUGUACUCUAGGAUUUGCCUCAAAUUACGUAAGAAAUGGCAAAAUCAUCUGCAGUGCAUGGAAUGUUAUGAUUUGAAAGAGCAGAGUAAAAAUGCUUAUCACUACUUAGAAGAUGUCAUCUUUGGAUGGGUAAUCAAGGAAUAAGGCAAAUUAAGGACAAGGACAAGCCAAAAUUUGGCAAAGGGAAAGCAUAAAUCAGGAAAUA
This 1521-nucleotide long non-coding RNA is filed under the name Homo sapiens (human). Its description in RNAcentral is "non-protein coding lnc-JPH3-2:2". Lineage: Eukaryota; Metazoa; Chordata; Mammalia; Primates; Hominidae. The record is from RNAcentral.